This 72-nucleotide transfer RNA is filed under the name Camelus bactrianus (Bactrian camel). It matches the Rfam family "tRNA". From Rfam's summary of the family: Transfer RNA (tRNA) molecules are approximately 80 nucleotides in length. Their secondary structure includes four short double-helical elements and three loops (D, anti-codon, and T loops). Further hydrogen bonds mediate the characteristic L-shaped molecular structure. tRNAs have two regions of fundamental functional importance: the anti-codon, which is responsible for specific mRNA codon recognition, and the 3' end, to which the tRNAs corresponding amino acid is attached (by aminoacyl-tRNA synthetases). tRNAs cope with the degeneracy of the genetic code in two manners: having more than one tRNA (with a specific anti-codon) for a particular amino acid; and 'wobble' base-pairing, i.e. permitting non-standard base-pairing at the 3rd anti-codon position. Lineage: Eukaryota; Metazoa; Chordata; Mammalia; Artiodactyla; Camelidae. The record is from Rfam by way of RNAcentral. RNAcentral also lists the same sequence under 3 other names.
GGGGUUAUAGCUCAGUGGUAGAGUGUGUGCUUAGCAUGCAGGAGGUCCUGGGUUCAGUCCCCAGUACCUCCA